RNAcentral lists this long non-coding RNA (162 nucleotides) under Neodiprion lecontei (redheaded pine sawfly). RNAcentral's name for it is "uncharacterized LOC124295017". The record is from RNAcentral. Lineage: Eukaryota; Metazoa; Arthropoda; Insecta; Hymenoptera; Diprionidae.
UUCUGACUCAGGUGAAUCGGUACUAUUUCACUUUUUUUCCGAUCAUCUUGAAAAUUUAGGUCUGUUCGACCUUUAAAAUUUCACAUGAUCUGAGUUCAAACCGGUUUAAGCCAGAUUGGUUUCUAUCCUUAAUUUUAUUAAAAAUUUUUAGUACGAGAGGAC